Molecule: ribosomal RNA, 458 nt
Filed under: uncultured bacterium
Lineage: Bacteria
Description: bacterial SSU rRNA
Rfam family: Bacterial small subunit ribosomal RNA
Source: RNAcentral
AACGAACGCUGGCGGCAGGCCUAACACAUGCAAGUCGAGCGCCCCGCAAGGGGAGCGGCGGACGGGUGAGUAACACGUGGGAAUUUUCCUCAAGGUACGGAACAACUCAGGGAAACUUGGGCUAAUACCGUAUGAUGCAGAGAUGCCAAAGAUUUAUCGCCUUGGGAUAAGCCCGCGUCAGAUUAGGUAGUUGGUGGGGUAAUGGCCUACCAAGCCUGUGAUCUGUAGCUGGUCUGAGAGGACGAUCAGCCACAUUGGGACUGAGACACGGCCCAAACUCCUACGGGAGGCAGCAGUGGGGAAUCUUGCGCAAUGGGCGAAAGCCUGACGCAGCCAUGCCGCGUGAAUGAUGAAGGUCUUAGGAUUGUAAAGUUCUUUAGCCUGUGACGAUGAUGACGGUAACAGGAGAAUAAGCCCGGCUAACUUCGUGCCAGCAGCCGCGGUAAGGUGACGCCUCU